Molecule: transfer RNA, 66 nt
Filed under: Enterococcus faecalis
Lineage: Bacteria; Bacillati; Bacillota; Bacilli; Lactobacillales; Enterococcaceae
Description: tRNA-Met
Rfam family: tRNA
About the family: Transfer RNA (tRNA) molecules are approximately 80 nucleotides in length. Their secondary structure includes four short double-helical elements and three loops (D, anti-codon, and T loops).
Source: RNAcentral
AGCCUAUCCAGUUAGAGCCAACCGCUCAUAACGGUUAGGUCACAGGUUCGAGUCCUGUAUGGUCCA